UUUACAAUGCGGGAAACCGUGAUAAGGGAACACCGAGUGCCAGCAUCAUAUGUUGGCUGUCCAGAUGUGUAAAAUACAUNUGUUAGCAAGGGCCGGGCAAGACCGGUGCCAGCCGCCGCGGUAACACCGGCGGCCCGAGUGGUGAUCGUGAUUAUUGGGUNUAAAGGGUCCGUAGCCGGUUUGGUCAGUCCUCCGGGAAAUCUGACGGCUCAACCGUCAGGCUUUCAGUGGAUACUGCCAGACUUGGAACCGGGAGAGGUGAGAGGUACUACAGGGGUAGGAGUGNNNUNNUGUAAUNCUCUNUGAGACCACCUGUGGCGAAGGCGUCUCACCAGAACG
RNAcentral lists this ribosomal RNA (339 nucleotides) under uncultured Methanosarcina sp. Its description in RNAcentral is "partial 16S ribosomal RNA". It matches the Rfam family "Archaeal small subunit ribosomal RNA", at positions 349 to 687 of the family's 1478-position model. Lineage: Archaea; Methanobacteriati; Methanobacteriota; Methanomicrobia; Methanosarcinales; Methanosarcinaceae. The record is from RNAcentral.